This 85-nucleotide transfer RNA is filed under the name Sphingobium phage Lacusarx. Its description in RNAcentral is "tRNA-Leu". It matches the Rfam family "tRNA". Rfam says of the family: Transfer RNA (tRNA) molecules are approximately 80 nucleotides in length. Their secondary structure includes four short double-helical elements and three loops (D, anti-codon, and T loops). Further hydrogen bonds mediate the characteristic L-shaped molecular structure. tRNAs have two regions of fundamental functional importance: the anti-codon, which is responsible for specific mRNA codon recognition, and the 3' end, to which the tRNAs corresponding amino acid is attached (by aminoacyl-tRNA synthetases). tRNAs cope with the degeneracy of the genetic code in two manners: having more than one tRNA (with a specific anti-codon) for a particular amino acid; and 'wobble' base-pairing, i.e. permitting non-standard base-pairing at the 3rd anti-codon position. Lineage: Duplodnaviria; Heunggongvirae; Uroviricota; Caudoviricetes. The record is from RNAcentral.
GGGGAUGUGGUGAAAUAGGUAAACGCAGCGGGUCGAGAGCCCGCCGCCUGAUGGCUUGAGGGUUCAAGUCCCUCCAUCCCCACCA